RNAcentral lists this ribosomal RNA (253 nucleotides) under uncultured bacterium. RNAcentral's name for it is "partial 16S ribosomal RNA". It matches the Rfam family "Bacterial small subunit ribosomal RNA", at positions 524 to 776 of the family's 1533-position model. The record is from RNAcentral.
UACGUAGGGGGCAAGCGUUGUCCGGAUUUAUUGGGCGUAAAGAGCGUGUAGGCGGUUUGGUAGGUCCGUUGUGAAAACUCGAGGCUCAACCUCGAGACGCCGAUGGAAACCAUCAGACUAGAGUCCGGAAGAGGAGAGUGGAAUUCCUGGUGUAGCGGUGAAAUGCGCAGAUAUCAGGAGGAACACCGGUGGCGAAGGCGGGUCUCUGGGCCGAUACUGACACUGAGGAGCGAAAGCGUGGGGAGCGAACAGG